This 274-nucleotide ribosomal RNA is filed under the name uncultured bacterium. RNAcentral's name for it is "partial 16S ribosomal RNA". It matches the Rfam family "Bacterial small subunit ribosomal RNA", at positions 523 to 796 of the family's 1533-position model. The record is from RNAcentral.
AUACGGAGGGUGCAAGCGUUAUUCGGAAUCACUGGGCGUAAAGGACGCGUAGGCGGGUUGGCAAGUCAGAUGUGAAAUCCUACAGCUUAACUGUAGAACUGCAUUUGAAACUGCUAACCUAGAGUAUGGGAGGGGGAGAUGGAAUUAGUGGUGUAGGGGUAAAAUCCGUAGAUAUCACUAGGAAUACCGAAAGCGAAGGCGAUCUCCUGGAACAUAACUGACGCUGAGGCGUGAAAGCGUGGGGAGCAAACAGGAUUAGAUACCCUUGUAGUCC